This 98-nucleotide small nuclear RNA is filed under the name Meriones unguiculatus (Mongolian gerbil). The record is from RNAcentral. Lineage: Eukaryota; Metazoa; Chordata; Mammalia; Rodentia; Muridae.
GUGCUCGCUUCGGCAGCACAUACGCUAAAAUCGGAACGAUGCAGAGAAGAUUAGAAUGGCCGCUGCCCAAGGAUGACACGCAAAUUCGCGGAGCGUUU